AUGAUGCCCAUUUCGAUUUCUGUGUGUGCCAAAGUUGAAGCCCAGUACCAUCAUUUUAUCUGCAAGCAUUAUGUGUUUACAUUUCCAGACUGUUUUAGCAGAAGUGCCUGGCUAUUUGGGGAUAAUGCAACCUGCUCGUGCUGUGUACUGUGCGUGAAAAAUGUCCACAAGCACAGGGCUUCCUGUCGAAAGGAUUUGGACACCACCAGCCUGACACCAGAGCUUUGGAGCCACAUCCCUGAAAGAUUUUCUUUGAAGUAUCAGAAAAGAUUUACAGGGGGCCUGUGGUCUGAACGCUUCCAGUGUGGUGAAGUAGAAGAAACCAGAAACCAGUCAUGCCUUCUAAGGAAAUCUUCUGUAACAAGUGUGGAGAAGGCAGAGAACCUAAAAGAAGCAAGUGCAGGUGAAUUCCAAGUCACGGCAGAGCAGAAGUUAUAGCUCAAGCUCUGAGCAGGGCAACUCGUACACUUCCUCUCUCCUCUUUCCUAAAGAAGACAAAUACAUCUUUUUUCUUCUUUCUGUAAGUUGUAAACUUCUGGAAAUGUUUUUGUUUUGCUUGGAGGUAACUAAAAAUUGCUACAUUAAUUUUAAGUCUGUUGUUGAAUAAUAAGUGCCUGGAGGUUUGCUUUUUGCCUAGUAGGUUAGUGCCUGAUGA
Molecule: long non-coding RNA, 655 nt
Filed under: Anser brachyrhynchus (Pink-footed goose)
Lineage: Eukaryota; Metazoa; Chordata; Aves; Anseriformes; Anatidae
Description: lncRNA (ENSABRG00000015459.1)
Source: RNAcentral